Molecule: unclassified non-coding RNA, 334 nt
Filed under: soil metagenome
Description: partial contains 5.8S ribosomal RNA, internal transcribed spacer 2, and large subunit ribosomal RNA
Rfam family: 5.8S ribosomal RNA (bases 1-120)
Source: RNAcentral
GAUGAAGAACGUAGCGAAAUGCGAUACGUAGUGUGAAUUGCAGAAUUCAGUGAAUCAUCGAAUCUUUGAACGCACAUUGCGCCCGCCAGUAUUCUGGCGGGCAUGCCUGUUCGAGCGUCAUUUCAACCAUCAAGCCCCCGGCUUGUGUUGGGGACCUGCGGCUGCCGCAGGCCCUGAAAUGCAGUGGCGGGCUCGCUGUCACUCCGAGCGUAGUAGUUACAUCUCGCUCUGGGCGUGCUGCGGGUUCCGGCCGUUAAAAGCCUUAUUUACCCAAGGUUGACCUCGGAUCAGGUAGGAAGACCCGCUGAACUUAAGCAUAUCAAUAAGCGGAGGA